GCUCAGACACAGAGUUUCUUCAACAGACAUCAGGUCAAAGUGAAGAAUUUCAGUCAUCAUGUGU
RNAcentral lists this small nucleolar RNA (64 nucleotides) under Cricetulus griseus (Chinese hamster). RNAcentral describes it as "Small nucleolar RNA SNORD37". The record is from RNAcentral. Lineage: Eukaryota; Metazoa; Chordata; Mammalia; Rodentia; Cricetidae.